GUGCUCACUUCAGCAGCAUAUAUACUAAAAUUGGAAUGACACAGAGAAAACUAGCAUGACCCCUGCACAAGGAUGACAUGCAAAUUAAUGAAGCAUUCCAUAUUAAA
RNAcentral lists this small nuclear RNA (107 nucleotides) under Microcebus murinus (gray mouse lemur). The record is from RNAcentral. Lineage: Eukaryota; Metazoa; Chordata; Mammalia; Primates; Cheirogaleidae.